This 1830-nucleotide long non-coding RNA is filed under the name Marmota monax (woodchuck). The record is from RNAcentral. Lineage: Eukaryota; Metazoa; Chordata; Mammalia; Rodentia; Sciuridae.
AAAUUAUAUUGCUUCCUUAUUUUACUUUUCAACCAUUACAUUGUAAGGAUUGAAGAUUUAUUUGCAUUUUUGCCCCCAGUUAAAAUACAGAUAUUUGGAAAUGGAUUAAAAUUCCCUUUUAGAAAUGCUUCCUAAAACAGACAGUUAUAUUAAAUGAAGUAAUAAUUUCUCUUUAAGGGAAUGAUAAAUUAUUUAUUUAACACAUAUACCUAAAUGAAGUUAUAACCAAUGAAAACUAGGAUCUGUAUUAGAAAACAUGAUAGAGGUAGAAGAAAGUCACUGUAAUUUCUCUUCUAUAUAAACUACAAUUGUUUUAAUUCUUGGUAUCUAGUUGUUUUGGUAUAUUUCAUAAUUAAUAGAAAAUAAUCCCACCUCCAGGAUAAACUGUAAGCCAUCAUGAAACUAUAUCCACAUGGAUCCACUAGUUUACUGUGUAUUUCCACCAACACUUUUCAUAAAAAUAGAAGUCAAAGUUAUAUUGAUUUUUAAAGAUAAUAUUUUGGGCACUGGAACAAAAGUUUGUACCCAAAUUGCUGCUGUUCAGCCAGAUCCUACAUAAUAUACCAAUAGCUAGAUUAGGAAUGCAGAAGUAAAAUUACUCAUGGCAGUCUAUUACAAGAUCCAAUAUUUCUCACUGGGAACUUUGAUCCACAGGAGGAGGUGAUAAGGUCAUAGUUAUACUAGUACUGCCAGACUGUUUUUCCAGAAUAACCAGAUAGAAGGAAGUAAUCCCAGUAUUAUUUCCCUCUUCUGAAAUCUUGGUUUCCAGUGCUCAACAAAUACAAUGAGCCUCAUUAGUGAAAACCAUAUAUAUUUUCAUUUCCUCUUUCAAACUAUCAACUUCAGUUUUUCCUUUCUAAGUUUUUUCAACCACUGACAUUAAAUUUACUCUUUUGACUUCAUCAUAAUACCCAACCUCAAAAUCAACUCCAGGAUUGCAUUUAUAGUACUUUGUAAAAAACAUAUAGUUUUAGGAAACACAUCUUACAAGUUGUACAAAGGAAUAGUAUUCAUAUUUACUCCAGGAUUCUGUUUUAGUAAAUUAUCAACCCUGUAACCACUAACACUGUCAGUAGGUGGGUGCAUUGUAAUAAAAAACAGAAAACUUCUUCCAUCAUUUGGUUCGUACAUAGUAAUUAUAUGUUCGUCACUGGAAAUCUUUCAGGUACACAUUCUGUGAAAGACAUAAGUCUUCUUCUGCCACUUCAGUUUUCAGUGUAAUUGAUUUUAAUUUGUGAAGCCUUAAAGUAUGUACAGCAUUUCAUAAUGUACAUUUCCAUCUUGAGGUAAAGAGAGGAUGGAAACAAUUUGACUCUCAUAGGUAGUUUUGAGGCUUUGGGAGGGGGUUAGGAUUAGUUAUGAUGAACUUAUGUUUAUCAGGGUGGAAUCUCCAUGGUUGAACCCUGGUAACCUUAUGAAAAGAGAUUGAGACCAGAACUUGCACAUUCCUUCUGCUCUCUCAAGAUUCAGCCAGCCAGAGGGCCAUCACUGGAUGCUGGUUCUCAAUCUUGGACCAGUACUAUGAUCCAAAAUAAACUUAUUUUCUUUAUAACUUUCCCAGUGUUAUUUUAAAUUUCCAUCAACAUUUUUUAAAUGCUCAUGGACUAAAGUCUUGGUUGCCAGUCAGUUGGUGCUAUUGAAAGGUGGUAGAAACACCUUUAGGCAGUGGGGUCUGAUGGAAAAAAAUGGAGUUACUAUAGAUGUGCCCUUGAAGGGCAUAUUGGGUCCCGGGUUCUUCUGUCUCUUUUUGCUUCCUGGAUGCUAUGAGCUGGGCAGUUUUGUUCUACCAUGUGCUCCUUUCUAUGAUGUUCUGCCUCACCACAAGCCCCA